This 495-nucleotide ribosomal RNA is filed under the name uncultured bacterium. RNAcentral's name for it is "partial 16S ribosomal RNA". It matches the Rfam family "Bacterial small subunit ribosomal RNA", at positions 28 to 507 of the family's 1533-position model. The record is from RNAcentral.
GAUGAACGCUGGCGGCGUGCCUAAUACAUGCAAGUAGAACGCUGAAGGAGGAGCUUGCUCUUCUGGAUGAGUUGCGAACGGGUGAGUAACGCGUAGGUAACCUGCCUGGUAGCGGGGGAUAACUAUUGGAAACGAUAGCUAAUACCGCAUGACAACAGUUAUUGCAUGAUAACUGUUUAAAAGGGGCAACUGCUCCACUACCAGAUGGACCUGCGUUGUAUUAGCUAGUUGGUGAGGUAACGGCUCACCAAGGCGACGAUACAUAGCCGACCUGAGAGGGUGAUCGGCCAAACUGGGACUGAGACACGGCCCAGACUCCUACGGGAGGCAGCAGUAGGGAAUCUUCGGCAAUGGACGGAAGUCUGACCGAGCAACGCCGCGUGAGUGAAGAAGGUUUUCGGAUCGUAAAGCUCUGUUGUAAGAGAAGAACGAGUGUGAGAGUGGAAAGUUCACACUGUGACGGUAUCUGACCAGAAAGGGACGGCUAACUACGUG